AGAUUCUGCAUACUGAAACAAAAAUCCCAAGUGCUGCAACUAAGACCUGGGGCAGCCAAAUAAAAAAAAAGAACCUCAGGGGAACCCUCUUUGGUUUCCUCUCCCAAUUGAAGGCUGGGAAAACCGCUGCCAUUUCCUGCCCACCGCCUGCCCCACACAAUGGGGUGUUGCCCCAGGAUCUUGCUCCAGACAUAGCCUGGGAGCCAUGACUACUGAGCCCGUGUGGCGAAACUACUGAAGUCCACAUGCCAUAGAGCCCAUGAUCUGCAACAAGAGAAGCCACCUCAAGGAGAAGCCCACACACUGCAACCGAGAGAAAGCCCAUGCAGCUACAGAGACCCAGCCCAGCCAAAAAUAAAUAAAAUUAUUUUAAAAAUUGAGCAGAAGGUACAGAGAUUUCUGGCGGACCCCACACACAUGCACAGCCACCCCAUCAUCAACAUUCCCCAUCAGAGGCUCAUGCAUUCUUUUUUUAAUGCCCUCCAUUUCUUCUUUUGGAUUUUCUUUCUUUUUGCUACAAAACUCCUUCCUCCUCCAGAAAUGCCUCUCCUUUCAUUUCACACUUAAUGUUCUUUUGACUUUAGCUCCUUAUCACUGGCAUGGAGUCUCAGGGCUUCUUCCUUAGGUCCUUCCCCUAGCUACAUUUUCUCUACCCAAAAUUUCCCUUGUUAUUCUCUGCAUCUAUUAACAAUGAAUUUUCUUCUCACUGCAUUUUAUGUAUUAGUAUAAAAGUAAUAGGGCUUCCUGGUGGCUCAGACGGGAAAGAAUCUGCCUGAAAUGCAGGAGACCUGGGUUGGGAAGAUACCCUGGAGAAGGGGAUGGCAACCCACUCCAGUAUUCUUGCCUGGAGAAUCCCCAUGGACAGAGUAGCCUGGAGGGCUAUAGUCCAUGGGGUUGCAAAGAGUCGGACAUGACUCAGCGACUAGGCACAG
Long non-coding RNA from Bos taurus (domestic cattle), 932 nucleotides. Lineage: Eukaryota; Metazoa; Chordata; Mammalia; Artiodactyla; Bovidae. The record is from Ensembl.